GAYGAACGCUGGCGGCGUGCCUAAUACAUGCAAGUCGAGCGAAUGGAUUAAGAGCUUGCUCUUAUGAAGUUAGCGGCGGACGGGUGAGUAACACGUGGGUAACCUGCCCAUAAGACUGGGAUAACUCCGGGAAACCGGGGCUAAUACCGGAUAACAUUUUGAACCGCAUGGUUCGAAAUUGAAAGGCGGCUUCGGCUGUCACUUAUGGAUGGACCCGCGUCGCAUUAGCUAGUUGGUGAGGUAACGGCUCACCAAGGCAACGAUGCGUAGCCGACCUGAGAGGGUGAUCGGCCACACUG
This 299-nucleotide ribosomal RNA is filed under the name Bacillus sp. R-26293. Its description in RNAcentral is "partial 16S ribosomal RNA". It matches the Rfam family "Bacterial small subunit ribosomal RNA", at positions 28 to 315 of the family's 1533-position model. The record is from RNAcentral. Lineage: Bacteria; Bacillati; Bacillota; Bacilli; Caryophanales; Bacillaceae.